This is a long non-coding RNA of Dermochelys coriacea (leatherback sea turtle), 180 nucleotides long. RefSeq lists it as uncharacterized. The transcript has 4 exons. NCBI's taxonomy places the organism in Eukaryota, Metazoa, Chordata, Testudines, Dermochelyidae. The record is from RefSeq and is a predicted model, not a curated record.
CUCUGUGUGUGUGUGCCUGAAGCAACAUACACAACCUGCCUGCCAACGCAGCCACUGGAAGCAAGUAAGUCUUCCCCUGCCAAGGGGAAUUUACCGCCAAGCCCCAACUGUGGGGAAACUGGACUAGCUGGGCCAUGCCCCAAACUAAAGGAUUUAUGUACGGAACAGCUCAGACAACAG